RNAcentral lists this transfer RNA (87 nucleotides) under Candidatus Hydrogenedentota bacterium. RNAcentral's name for it is "tRNA-Leu". It matches the Rfam family "tRNA". From Rfam's summary of the family: Transfer RNA (tRNA) molecules are approximately 80 nucleotides in length. Their secondary structure includes four short double-helical elements and three loops (D, anti-codon, and T loops). The record is from RNAcentral. RNAcentral also lists the same sequence under 1 other name. Lineage: Bacteria; Pseudomonadati; Candidatus Hydrogenedentota.
GCCGGGGUGGCGAAAUUGGCAGACGCGCCGGACUCAAAAUCCGGUCCUGGCAACAGGGUGAGGGUUCAAGUCCCUCCUCCGGCACCA